GACGAACGCUGGCGGCGUGCUUAACACAUGCAAGUCGAACGAUGAAGCCGGAGCUUGCUCUGGUGAAUUAGUGGCGAACGGGUGGGUAACACGUGAGUAACCUGCCCUUGACUCUGGGAUAACUGCUAGAAAUGGUAGCUAAUACCGGAUACGACCCUCGGAGGCAUCUCCAGGGGGUGGAAAGAAUUUCGGUCAAGGAUGGACUCGCGGCCUAUCAGGUAGUUGGUGAGGUAAUGGAUCACCAAGGCGACGACGGGUAGCCGGCCUGAGAGGGUGAUCGGCAUCGCUGGGAGAGAUACACGGCCCAGACUGGUACGGGAGGCAGCAGUGGGUAAUAUUGCACAAUGGGCGCAAGCCUGAUGCAGGAACGCCGCGUGAGGGAUCACGGCCUUCGGGUGGUAAAACUCUUUUAGGAGGGAAGAAGCGAAAGUGACAGUACCUGCAGAAAAAGCACCGGCUCACUACGAGCCUGCAGCCGCGGUAA
This 484-nucleotide ribosomal RNA is filed under the name uncultured bacterium. Its description in RNAcentral is "partial 16S ribosomal RNA". It matches the Rfam family "Bacterial small subunit ribosomal RNA", at positions 28 to 523 of the family's 1533-position model. The record is from RNAcentral.